Molecule: long non-coding RNA, 590 nt
Organism: Octopus bimaculoides (California two-spot octopus)
Lineage: Eukaryota; Metazoa; Mollusca; Cephalopoda; Octopoda; Octopodidae
Source: RefSeq, a predicted model, not a curated record
AUAUAGGUAAACGUGUGUGGGUGUGUGCGUGUGUGCGUUCGUGCUAUACAUCUUCACUUUAACUCUGCUUUUAAUCACUGCUCUAAUAACUAACCACACACACACACACCGUUGCUCAAACGCACAGACACACAUACAUACACACUCAUCUUCGCAUACGCACAUACACAAAACUGCAAGAUCACACGCAUACACACACAAUACACCCUUUCUGAGAAUCUAAAGCGUGUAACGACGCGAAACUACCAAAUUCCUCUCUUCCUUCCUCUCCCUCAUUCUCUCUCUCGCUCCUCCUCUCACUGUUUCACUGCUCCUCUGUCUCUCGUUCCCUACUCUUUCUCUCUCUCUCUCAGUAUAUGCUUCUCCUUCUCUCUCUCUCUCUCUCUCUCUCUCUCUUUCCCUCCUUAUUUCUCAGUCUAUCCGCCCCCCUCUCUCUCUCCCUCUCUCAGCUGACCAAUUCUUUGCAGAGAAAACACAGAAUUCACUUCGAUAUCAAUUUGAAAUCUUCACCAAAUCAAUUACAAGUAAUAGACCAGUCUUGCAGAAAAGAUCAAACAUUACAAGACAAUGAAGAACUUAUUGAUUUUCGU